CCGGGUAGCUAUGUUCGGAAAAGAUAACCGCUGAAAGCAUCUAAGCGGGAAACUUGCCUCAAGAUGAGAUCUCACUGGGAACUUGAUUCCCCUGAAGGGCCGUCGAAGACUACGACGUUGAUAGGCUGGGUGUGUAAGCGUUGUGAGGCGUUGAGCUAACCAGUACUAAUUGCCCGUGAGGCUUGACCAUAUAACACCCAAACA
This 204-nucleotide ribosomal RNA is filed under the name Pseudomonas aeruginosa. RNAcentral's name for it is "partial 23S ribosomal RNA". It matches the Rfam family "Bacterial large subunit ribosomal RNA", at positions 2741 to 2925 of the family's 2925-position model. The record is from RNAcentral. Lineage: Bacteria; Pseudomonadati; Pseudomonadota; Gammaproteobacteria; Pseudomonadales; Pseudomonadaceae.